Molecule: ribosomal RNA, 489 nt
Filed under: uncultured bacterium
Lineage: Bacteria
Description: partial 16S ribosomal RNA
Rfam family: Bacterial small subunit ribosomal RNA
Source: RNAcentral
UUGAACGCUGGCGGCAGGCCUAACACAUGCAAGUCGAACGGUAACAGGAAGCAGCUUGCUGCUUUGCUGACGAGUGGCGGACGGGUGAGUAAUGUCUGGGAAACUGCCUGAUGGAGGGGGAUAACUACUGGAAACGGUAGCUAAUACCGCAUAACGUCGCAAGACCAAAGAGGGGGACCUUCGGGCCUCUUGCCAUCGGAUGUGCCCAGAUGGGAUUAGCUAGUAGGUGGGGUAACGGCUCACCUAGGCGACGAUCCCUAGCUGGUCUGAGAGGAUGACCAGCCACACUGGAACUGAGACACGGUCCAGACUCCUACGGGAGGCAGCAGUGGGGAAUAUUGCACGAUGGGCGCAAGCCUGAUGCAGCCAUGCCGCGUGUAUGAAGAAGGCCUUCGGGUUGUAAAGUACUUUCAGCGGGGAGGAAGGGAGUAAAGUUAAUACCUUUGCUCAUUGACGUUACCCGCAGAAGAAGCACCGGCUAACUCCGUG